Molecule: long non-coding RNA, 1890 nt
Organism: Macaca mulatta (Rhesus monkey)
Lineage: Eukaryota; Metazoa; Chordata; Mammalia; Primates; Cercopithecidae
Source: Ensembl
CCAAGACUCAGCUUAUUAAUUUUUACAUCCCUUGGAGUCUGCCCACUCCUCCAUGGAAACCAUGGUUAUUCUAAAAUAUAAUUGUUUAUACCUUGCAACCCCCCCACCACCACCACCAGCAGCAGCACAAUGGAAACCUUAAAAGAAGGGGAUAUAGUGUCUAUCUUAUUCACAGCUGUAUCUUUAGUACCUUGAAAAAUUCUUAGCUAAUAUUAAGUAGUUGUUGAACAAAUGAGUAAACUUAUGAAUGAAUGAAUGAAUGAAUGAAUGAAUGAGAUGCUAUUAUGAUAGAGCUUCUGUUACCUCAUAGGAAAGACAAAUAAUGGGACAGGGAAUGUUCUUCAGAAAAAUGUUUCUGGGCCAAGAUUGAGUGGUAAUUAAGCACUACCUAGACAAAAGAAGGAAUGGGCAUUUUUGAGGAACUGGGAGCAACCUAGGGAGAGAAUUGAGAUGAUUGUGGUUGAAGAGAAAUCAACAAGUCAUCAUGCAGAGCCUAGGACUGAGAACAACGUCCUGGAAAGCAGAGCCAAUAUAUGAAGAGAAACCCAGUGCUGCAUCUUUACCUAUCCCAGGGUUUUUCAGGCAAAAGAAACAGACCCAGUUACCUCAAGAAAAUUUUAAAUGGGAGAGAAAUUUUUUCUCUAGCUUCAAGAAGAACAAGUAUCAGCACAUCUCCCAGAAUUUCUGCAGCAGGAACUCAUGGAGACGAUGCCAUCGAGUGAUUUAGCUCCUACUCCUUCCAUCCUUCCUUCUCUUUCUCAAGGCUUAAUUCCUAUGGGAGGAAGAUUCUGUUUGUCUCUACUUGGGGCAACCAUCUACUGUUGUGAUCAAGGGAGUAAAGUCGUGGAUGGAAAGCCUAUCAGAGAAAAUGCUGAGCAAAUGAAUCCCUGAGAUCCACAACAUCCUAUAAAUAGUCCUUAUUAAAUAAGUAAAUCAUAUAUGGAGUGUUAAUUUGCAGUUCCAUCCUACAAUCACUGGACAACACUAUUUCUCUAUUUCAACUUCAGGGGCUCCAAACCUCAAAAUGGCUGUACUUCGGUCAGAGCCUAUUUGAUUGAUAAGACAUGCAUUACAUUACAACUCAGACACUUGAAGAUUUCUAUCUUUAACAAACAUAGAAGCCAGAAUUGGGAAAUUUUCAUGCAUAACAUAUUUAAAACAGUUGUUCUUAGAAGUAUGUGUCCAAACAGUCUUCCAGAUUGACAUACUUCUCCUUGGGAAAGAUGUCCAAUUCCUUUUAAUGUUAAGUAAAUGAAUUGCAAAGGCUAGGUAAUACAAAAAUGAAUCUGGUGGUAACAGUGGGAAAAGCCAGUGAGAAGACUUCAUUCACCAGUGCUAUGAUUUAAAUAUGUCCACCAAAUUUAAUGUGCUGGAAACUUAAUCUCCAGAUUAUAGGUUGAUGGUGCUUGGAGGUUGGACCUUUAGGAGGUACUUAGGAUUGGAUAAGGUCAUCAGCCUGGAGCCUUCAUUAUGAGACUGGUAGCUUUAUAAGAAGAGGAACAGAGAGCUGAACCAGCAUACUCUUGUCCUCUCACUAUGUGAUGCCCAUCGUCACGUUAUGACUCAACAAAAGGGCUCUCACCAAAGGCUGGAGCCAUGCUUUUAAACUUUCCAGCCUCCUUAACAGUAAAAAAUAAACUUACUUAUCUUCUUUGUAAACUACCCAGUCUCUGAUAUUCACUUAUAGCAACAGAAAAUGAACUAGGGCAGCUGGAACUUGGGUUAGACCUAUUUGCUUUUUAUCAUUACAGUCAACAUUCAAAUACCUAAUCUGUUCCUAAAAGUCAGUUAGAGAUGACAGCCAAUGAUACCUUUUUCAAUGUCAAAGAAGACCACUGAAGCUGUUCUUACAAAGAUUUUUCCUAAAUUGAUUUUUACUCUAAAAUGAUG